ACCUACAGUCAUAGGCUCUCAUGGCUCCACAUAGCUGCUAACCAGGAGAGUCUGCCACGCCCUGUCUGUUCACCUCACUCUGCCCAGACUUCUGAAGGUGGCCCCUUUAAAGCCUCACUCCGAGUUCAUCAUCUCAGCCGUACAGGCUGGGGACUCCACCUCUCCAACACCAGGUCUGUCACACCCACCCCAAACAGUUGCUCACUGGAAUUGACAGAUCUGAGCAGGCGUUUUGGCAUCCUGUACGUCUGUGGGGAAGGCUUUGGCAUCCAUGUUAUUCCUGCCUGGAAGCUGACUUGAAAACAGGAAGCUCAGAGCUGUACAUGAAGAACGAUGGGACAGAAAUGCACAGAGAACCUGACAGCUCCAGCCAGUGACUGUGCCAGCCCCGGGCUGUUGACCUCCACACUUCUCAUUAUUUGAGAAAAAUGAAGUCCAGCUUAGCAGCUUAAGUCUCCUAUAGUUGAAUUUGCUGUUUUCUGUAACAAAACUUGUUCUUAAAUUACACAAGUAUGAUCCCUGAGAAACACCAUGCAUUUGACAUAUUUCUUUCCUUCUGUUCAUGAAGAACCAUGAA
Apodemus sylvaticus (European woodmouse) is the source of this 577-nucleotide long non-coding RNA. RefSeq lists it as uncharacterized. NCBI's taxonomy places the organism in Eukaryota, Metazoa, Chordata, Mammalia, Rodentia, Muridae. The transcript has 3 exons. The record is from RefSeq and is a predicted model, not a curated record.